UCUGUCUGCGCCAGACGCCAACAGCCACAGACAACAGAGACGAGGACAAAGGCAACUCCAGCUCCCAGUCCAUCCGACCUGUGCCCAUCUGGCUCUUUGCUGAAAUGGACCGCAAGCUUUCCCACGACGAUGUCCAGAAGUUUUCCCACGGGGAAGGUGAGAGGUUUGCAGAACUGUCACCAUGCGAACAAGAGCUCUUCUCCCACAUGUCCCAGUGGAAAAAUAGCAGAGAACCAGACUUCUACCAAGUGAUAGACAGCAGUGACAACGAGCUGUUGCAAGGACCAGACGCCAGAGCACAAGAGCUGCCCCAGUGGCCAGAUAUUGAAGACCAAAAGCUGUCCCGACGGGAGGAGCAUGUGAGCAGUCAGGAGCUGUCCCAAUGGAGAAAGGACAUAGCCGUGCAAACGAGUCCCACGGAGCAGAACAUCGACUGGGAGAUGCUGGGCGAGGUGCUGCAGGAGGUCCAGGCACUGAAGCUGGAGCUGCUUGCCCUUCAACAGGUGUUGGCUGGGGAUGAAUCAGUAGACACAGCCAAAAAUGAAGAGAGCUCAGUGCUUUCCCCACACAGCACCCCCAGCCCCUUGCCUGCCCAGCUGAGUUCCCAAGCCCCCAGGGAGCAGCAGGAGGAGGGGGCAGCAUCAGCAUCUGUGCGGGCAGUGCAGGAGAGCGAGGAUGGGACCUUGACUGGGGAGGACAAAGACUGGGAAGAUGACAUCGAUUCAGAGCUCUCCCAGUGGGAAAAUAAGGAACAGGCAGAGGUGUCCCACAGAGAAAUGAACAACUCCCAAGAAGUGUCCCAGGGGCAAGAGUGCCCUGAGCAGGAGCCGUGCAGCCAAGGGCCGGCGCCUGCCCCGCACAGCCCCCCAGCCCCUGGCCUGCCCGGCUGGGAGCCCAGGCCCUCCGCGGGCAGCCGGCUGCCCCCGGGAAACGUCCCUCCCGCUUCAGGCGGGCGCUGCGGGCGCUGCGGGGGCUGUUCUGCUGUUCCUGCCUCAGGCCACGGACUGCAGAGUAAAACGGACACGGGAAAAAAUAAAGAGGACAAAGAUGACAUGGCAGAUGAAGAAGAUGAAGACAGAGAAGAAGAUGAAGACAAAUAGGAUGAAGAAGAGAAAAAAGAGGAAGAAGACAAAGAUGAAGAGUAAAAAGACAAGACAGAGAACAUUUAUUUAAGAGUAGAUAGAAGAAUAUAGUAAUAGGGAUUUAGUAAUACUUAGAAGAAGAGUACUAGGAAUAGGAAUAAGAAUUUCAAAAUAUGUAGAAGAAGAGGAAUAGGAAUAAGAAUUUUAAAAUAUGUACUAGAAGAAGAAAAAGAAGAAUAGGAAUAUGAAUAAGAAUAUAAAAAUACAUAGAAGUAGCAAAGAAGAAGAAUAGUAAGAAAGAGUAGGAAGUAGAAGAAGAGCCAUAAGAAGAAUAAGAAUAGAAAAAUGAAGAGAAAAUUGAAGGAAUAAGUAAAAUUAGCAAAUAAUUUCUUUUUAUUACAUAUUGUAUAUUUCUAUUUCAGUCUAUGAAAUAAAAGCAUUAGUAUACAUUAUGUUGUAAUUACAAUAUAUUAUAAUGUCCCCACGCUGUUCCCGUUAUUGAAGAAUCUGUGUGUUUUCUAACAACGUCUCACAGAACCCCAGAAUCCCUGGGGCUGGAAAAGCUCUCCCAGCCCAUGGAGUCCCAGCUGGGCCCCAUGCCCACCUUGUCCCCAGCCCAGAGCACUCAGUGCCACCUCCAGGCCUUCCCUGGCAGGGAUGGGCACUCCAAACCCCCCUGGGCAGCCCCUGCCAAGGCCUGAGCACCCUUUCCAUGGGGAAAUUCCUGCUGCUGUCCAAGCUGAGCCUCUGCUGGCCCAGCCUGAGGCCGUUUCCCCUUGUCCUGUCCCUGUUCCCUGGAGCAGAGCCCGACCCCCUGGCUGUCCCCUCCUGGCAGGGGGUACAGAAGGAUUGUUCCUUUCCUAGGCCCUCUCCUCCUGCUAUCUGCUUU
Molecule: long non-coding RNA, 1971 nt
Filed under: Taeniopygia guttata (zebra finch)
Lineage: Eukaryota; Metazoa; Chordata; Aves; Passeriformes; Estrildidae
Description: lncRNA (ENSTGUG00000026846.1)
Source: RNAcentral